This 204-nucleotide long non-coding RNA is filed under the name Setaria viridis. RNAcentral describes it as "long non-coding RNA (SVIR_LNC004535)". Lineage: Eukaryota; Viridiplantae; Streptophyta; Magnoliopsida; Poales; Poaceae. The record is from RNAcentral.
GGGAAUCGGAGAAGCACAGUUGGGAAUCGGUCAAAUGGUGCUACAGUGUGAGAUCGGCCGGUGACUUCUGUCUCGCUUUGGGUCGAAUAUACUAGAGUCACAAUCGGUAAUCUUUUGCCGAUAAGGAAUCGGCCGAUUAGGAGGAUGGGCUAAUUGGGCCUGUAUGGGCUUGGAAAGGGAUAGAAGGAUAAGGUGGAAAUCAGC